GACGAACGCUGGCGGCGUGCUUAACACAUGCAAGUCGAGCGGUAAGGCCCUUUCGGGGGUACGACGAGCGGCGAACGGGUGAGUAACACGUGGGUGACCUGCCUUUAGCUCUGGGAGUAAGCCUGGGAAACGUAGGGUCGUAAUACCGGAUACGACUCCGCGGUGCAUGCUGUGGGGUGGAAAGACCUUGUGCGGCUGGAGAUGGGCCCGCGGCCUAUCAGCUUGUUGGUGGGGUGAUGGCCUACCAAGGCGACGACGGGUAGCCGGCCU
This 270-nucleotide ribosomal RNA is filed under the name uncultured bacterium. Its description in RNAcentral is "partial 16S ribosomal RNA". It matches the Rfam family "Bacterial small subunit ribosomal RNA", at positions 28 to 293 of the family's 1533-position model. The record is from RNAcentral.